GUUUUCCUUAAAGGCACUGUUCCUCCUCUUUCCCUUGUCCCGCUCCACCCACCUCAGCCCAAGGACCAUUUUCCAGACAGGACGUCAUUCAUUGUCCCUGAGUUUUGGCUCAUCUGAGCCCCAUCAUAAAGGCAAAGGCGAGGAGGGAACAGCUAAUAUUUACCCAGCAUCUUCAAUGAACCUGACAGGAUCUUGCUAUAUGGUCCAGCCUGGGCUUUAACUCAGUAUCUUCCUGCCUCAGUCUCCUGAGUUCUGGGAGGAUUACAGCUGAAGCAAUACAAGGCUCUCACCAAAAGCCAAGUGAAUGCCAGUGCCAUAAUCUCUGACUUCCCAGCCUCUAGAAAUGUGAUCCAAAAUAAAC
Molecule: long non-coding RNA, 361 nt
Filed under: Heterocephalus glaber (naked mole-rat)
Lineage: Eukaryota; Metazoa; Chordata; Mammalia; Rodentia; Bathyergidae
Description: lncRNA (ENSHGLG00100047791.1)
Source: RNAcentral